This 392-nucleotide ribosomal RNA is filed under the name uncultured bacterium. RNAcentral's name for it is "partial 16S ribosomal RNA". It matches the Rfam family "Bacterial small subunit ribosomal RNA", at positions 523 to 918 of the family's 1533-position model. The record is from RNAcentral.
AUACGGAGGAUCCGAGCGUUAUCCGGAUUUAUUGGGUUUAAAGGGUGCGCAGGCGGCCAUUUAAGUCAGCGGUUAAAUCGUGGGGCUCAACCCCAUUCUGCCGUUGAUACUGGGUGGCUUGAUUGCGGUCGAGGCUGGCGGAAUUCGUUGUGUAGCGGUGAAAUGCAUAGAUAUGACGAAGAACACCGAUUGCGUAGGCAGCUGACCAGACCGCAAAUGACGCUCAUGCACGAAAGUGCGGGGAUUGAACAGGAUUAGAUACCCUGGUAGUCCGCACAGUAAACGAUGAAUACUUGUUUUCGGCGAUAUAAUGUCGGAGGCAAAGCGAAAGCGAUAAGUAUUCCACCUGGGGAGUACGCCGGCAACGGUGAAACUCAAAUGAAUUGACGGGG